GACAGCAGUCGCCGCGGGAAUACGUAGGGUGCGAGCGUUAAUCGGAAUUACUGGGCGUAAAGCGUGCGCAGGCGGUUUUGUAAGACAGGCGUGAAAUCCCCGGGCUCAACCUGGGAAUGGCGCUUGUGACUGCAAAGCUAGAGUGCGGCAGAGGGGGAUGGAAUUCCGCGUGUAGCAGUGAAAUGCGUAGAGAUGUGGAGGAAUACCGAUGGCGAAGGCAGCCCCCUGGGCCAAUACUGACGCUCAUGCACGAAAGCGUGGGGAGCAAACAGGAUUAGAUACCCGCGUAGUCCCUGUCUCUUAUAA
Molecule: ribosomal RNA, 306 nt
Filed under: uncultured bacterium
Lineage: Bacteria
Description: partial 16S ribosomal RNA
Rfam family: Bacterial small subunit ribosomal RNA
Source: RNAcentral